AACCCCUGUGAACAUACCUUACUGUUGCCUCGGCGGAUCAGCCCGCUCCCGGUAAAACGGGACGGCCCGCCAGAGGACCCCUAAACUCUGUUUCUAUAUGUAACUUCUGAGUAAAACCAUAAAUAAAUCAAAACUUUCAACAACGGAUCUCUUGGUUCUGGCAUCGAUGAAGAACGCAGCAAAAUGCGAUAAGUAAUGUGAAUUGCAGAAUUCAGUGAAUCAUCGAAUCUUUGAACGCACAUUGCGCCCGCCAGUAUUCUGGCGGGCAUGCCUGUUCGAGCGUCAUUUCAACCCUCAAGCCCUCGGGUUUGGUGUUGGGGAUCGGCGAGCCUUUCUGGCAAGCCGGCCCCGAAAUCUAGUGGCGGUCUCGCUGCAGCCUCCAUUGCGUAGUAGUAAAACCCUCGCAACUGGAACGCGGCGCGGCCAAGCCGUUAAACCCCCAACUUCUGAAUGUUGACCUCGGAUCAGGUAGGAAUACCCGCUGAACUUAA
Molecule: ribosomal RNA, 491 nt
Filed under: Fusarium redolens
Lineage: Eukaryota; Fungi; Ascomycota; Sordariomycetes; Hypocreales; Nectriaceae
Description: eukaryotic LSU rRNA
Rfam family: 5.8S ribosomal RNA (bases 132-285)
Source: RNAcentral